Long non-coding RNA from Heterocephalus glaber (naked mole-rat), 1897 nucleotides. The record is from Ensembl. Lineage: Eukaryota; Metazoa; Chordata; Mammalia; Rodentia; Bathyergidae.
CACAGGGGCUGGCAGAAUACCUCACGCACAAGUCAGUGCCAUCAGAUAGGUGAAUUUCUGCUCACGGGUUAACGGGUGAUCCAUUUAUAAAUGAGCAGGUUACCUGCUUGUGGGCCAGUCGGCUACGUACUCAAGGACUGGUGGAUUAAUCCACUUCUACAUUGAUCUGUUCAGAGACUGGCACACUAGUCCAUGUAUGAGUUAGUGAGUUAGCCCACUCAUUGAGCAGUGAACUAGGGGACUUGUAGACUACACUAGGCUACUUUACAGACUGCCGCUUAGUCCACUUAUACAGUAACCACUCAUAGAUUGGUGGAUUAAUCCACUAAUAAGUUAGCACAUCGGCCCACUGGUGGAUUAGUGGAUUAAUGAAGUCAUAGAUGAAUGGGCUUGUCCACGCAUAGAUUAGUGGACUAGGCCAUUCGUGGAUGAGUAGGUCCAUGGACUACUGUAUUAGUCCACUUAUGGGCUUAUGUACUCAUAAAUGGGUGGAUUUUAUCCUUUAUGAAUUAGCGAAAUAGACUACUCGAACAUUGGUAGGUUAAUCAAGUCAUAGAUUAAUGGAUUCACCCACACACAGAUUAGUGGACUAGGCCAUUCAUGGAUGAGUAGUUCUACCUCCUCAUGGACUAGUGGAUUAACCCACUUAUAGUCUAAUGUAUAGAUAGUGGAUUAAUGCAUUCAUGAAUUAGUGGAUCAGCCUACUAGGCAAUUCAUAGAUUAGUGAGCUGGUCUACUCCUGGAUCAGUGGAUUAAUCUAUUUAUAUACUAGUGGAUUUAUAUAGACUAAUGGAUUUGUCCAUUUAUAUACUAGUGUAUUUAUAAAUUAGUGGGUUAAUACACUUAUAUACUGAUGAUGUAUUCAUAAGCCACUGCAUUAACCUACUUAUAUAUUUAUACAUUAGUGGGAUCACCCACUUAUAUACUAAUGUAUUUGUAGAUUAGCGGAUUAACCCAUUCAUGAAUCAGUGGAUUGGCCCACUCAUGGAUUAGUGGGCAAUCAGUUCAUGGACUCGAAAACUCUUUGAGCCAAUAAACCUCCAUUCUUUACCAAUUUCCCAGCCCGUGGCAUUCAUCACAGAGGCAGAAAACAGAGUGAGGCAGUCACAGCAUGAUUUGUUUCCAUCGUUGACAAGAGACUAAGCCCAUCGGACAAGCACUUCAGAAGGUGUUGCAGCCAGCAGCAUACCUGAGACAGGGGGAUCUCAGCCAGCGCCACCUGAAGCUUGGCCUCCCCUUGGUGCGGGCAUUGCAGCGAAAAAAAAUGUGCAGGACGAUGGUGAAGCGGUCAAACACCUCCGCGGCCCAGGCUGCCUCCAGCUCUUUCUAGAAAGGAGAGGCUCCUCCCUUCUCUCUCUUCCUGGCUGCCAUGGCACGGGCGUCUUUCCUCCCCAACACCCAUCUGCCAUGAGCGUUCUUGCCUUGGAGCAGCUGGGCAUGGACUGAAACCCCCUGAGACCACUGGAGCAGCCAGCUAUGCAACCCUCUAAAACUAUGAGUGCUGGAACUGUUUAGACGAUGGGACUCUUGGAGAGAAGAUGAAUGUGUUUUGCAUUGAGAUGGACACACGCACUUGGGAGCCAGGGCGGGAAUGUUAUGGUUGGGAUCUGGCAUUGAAGGCUUAGACCCUGUAGGGAGGCGGUGGAACCUUUAAGGGGCGUGGCCUAGUGGGAGGAAGUGAGGUCACUGGGGGUGUGGCUAUAUGGGCAUAUGAGGACCCCAGGCGCUUCCACGCUCUCUCCUUCUUGGCCACCAUGAUGUGAGCAGCUUUGCCCCACCCCUCCCAACCGCCGUGAUGUUUCUGCCUCAUCACAGGCCUAAAAGCAGUGGAACCCGACAACCAUGGACUAAAACCUCUGAGACCAUGAGCCAAAAUAAACCUUCCCUUUUUCGUUUU